This 1018-nucleotide long non-coding RNA is filed under the name Oryctolagus cuniculus (rabbit). RNAcentral describes it as "lncRNA (ENSOCUG00000034179.1)". Lineage: Eukaryota; Metazoa; Chordata; Mammalia; Lagomorpha; Leporidae. The record is from RNAcentral.
AGUCACCUAGGAGGAUUUCAUUUCCCUUUGCUAUGAGCUACCAAUGUGACCUCAACCAGAUUACAGAAUCCCUGACAUUUUAACCAUAUGCUCUCACAAGCUGUGUGCAUGGCUCUGCCGCAUCCUUGCUUCUCCUUCAUGGCUCUGCUCAGAGACCUUCAUCAAGAAUCAUCUCCACUCUACUUGCCCUGGUGAACUUUGGAAUCAUGUCAUCAAGUUCCCCUCAAAACCGGUGUGCUAAAUUGAGAACUUGGAAUGAGGUCGUUCAUGGAACCUCAGGGGGUGCAGAUGCCAGACUCAGCAGCAAUAGCAGGGGGUGCACAUUGCCAUGCCCUGCAAGCCCUAGUCCAUUCAGUAAGUGGCUCCAGCCCACUCUGCAUGGCCCUGGCCCCUGCUGUGGGAGGCAGGUGAUCCCAUCCAGCCAGAUCAUCUCUGUUAUCCUCAUGACUCCUGGGGCCACAGCUAGUGCAGGAGUUUUGCGGUAUUGAUGAUACAAGAAACACAUGCCUUUUAAGAAAGGAGGAAGAACUUCAGUUGCACAUCAUUUUCCAAGUGAGUACUGGAUGUUGUGGAUUUUGGGUUCCACAAUAGGACUGCAUAUUCUUUGACAGUUUUCUGACACUGUCCCAUCCUGUUGAAUGUGGAUGGGUUUGUGACUACUUCACCAAGAGAGUAGGGCACAAGAGAUUCUGUGUGACUUCUGAGGCUAGAUCAAGGGAGCCAAGCAGCUUCUGCCUGGUUUUCUGGAAUUCUCACCCCUGGAACCCUGAGCCUCUGUGUGGUAAGUGUGACUACCUUAUGGUGCUGUAAUGGAGAGGUCACAUUUAGGUACCCUGAGCCCACCUUCUACACCUUUGAGAUAAAUCUAGCCAAGCCAUUUGUAACAAGUCCAUGCAUUCCAGUCUUUCUGGCUGGAUACCUAGACCUUGUAGAGUAGGUUUGAACCAUCCCUCAUCUGCCCAACCCAGAUUUCUGACCCACUAAAUCUGAGAGAAUAAUAAAAUGAUGUUCUGUGCCA